Molecule: long non-coding RNA, 737 nt
Filed under: Homo sapiens (human)
Lineage: Eukaryota; Metazoa; Chordata; Mammalia; Primates; Hominidae
Description: HSALNT0387162
Source: RNAcentral
AAUGCAGGUUUUCAGUGAGAGGCAUGCGGAGGGCCUGGGUGCUAUCAUUUCUCCCAGCUCCCAGGUAAUGCCUAGUCUGUUGGUCUGAGGUUUGAGUAGUGAGGUCUACUACAUUUGUUCUCUGUUUUUCUCCCAAACUGCCUCAACCAUAGACUUUUAUACAAACAGGAAGGUACUGAUUCUCAAACUUGGCUAUACACGGAAACCUCCCUAGGGGCUUUUCACCAACACUGAUGCCUGAGACCUACCCUAGACCAAUUAAAUCACAGUGUCUGGAAGUGGGGCUCUGAGAUUCAACGUGCUAUUGAGUAGUUGCUGUCCUGGGUUUUGGGGGCCAUGGGAGCCCUGCAGACAGCACAUGAACCAGGCAGCCCUGUCCACACCCCUCGUGGGCCUCCCAGUGUGGCGAUAAAGAAGGAAGAGGCUGGGCACGGUGGCUCAUACCUGUAAUUCCAGCACUUUGGGAGGCCGAAGACGGUGGAUCACGAGGUCAGAGAUUCGAGACCAGCCUGGCCAGCAUGGUGAAACCCUGUCUGUACUAAGAAUACAAAAAAUUAGCCAGGUGUCGUGGCGCAUACCUGUAACCCCAGCUACUCGGGAGGCUGAAGCAGGAGAAUUGCUUGAACCCAGGAGGCGGAGGUUACAGUGAAUCAAAAUUGCGCCACUACACUCCAGCCUGGGUAACAAAGUGAGACUCAAAAUAAAUAAAUAAAUAAAUAAAAAGGAGGAGGAAAGCA